AUGAACCUUGGGCACGUCGAGGAGGAGGUCGGGAAGCUCCGGGAGGAGAUCCAGAGGCUCGGCCAGCAGCAGCCCGACGGCUCCUACAAGGUCAAGUUUGGUGUCAUCUUCAACGACGACCGAUGCGCAAACAUAUUUGAAGCAUUAGUUGGCACCUUGCGGGCCGCCAAGAAGAGGAAAGUUGUCACCUACGACGGUGAAAUGCUUCUGCAGGGUGUUCAUGACAAUGUGGAGAUAACCCUCUUCCCUCCCCCCACGGUUGCUGCCACUUGA
RNAcentral lists this ribosomal RNA (273 nucleotides) under Triticum aestivum (bread wheat). Its description in RNAcentral is "partial small subunit ribosomal RNA". The record is from RNAcentral. Lineage: Eukaryota; Viridiplantae; Streptophyta; Magnoliopsida; Poales; Poaceae.